RNAcentral lists this unclassified non-coding RNA (305 nucleotides) under plant metagenome. Its description in RNAcentral is "partial contains 5.8S ribosomal RNA, internal transcribed spacer 2, and large subunit ribosomal RNA". The stretch from base 1 to 105 matches the Rfam family "5.8S ribosomal RNA", at positions 50 to 154 of the family's 154-position model. The record is from RNAcentral.
GAAAUGCGAUAAGUAGUGUGAAUUGCAGAAUUCAGUGAAUCAUCGAAUCUUUGAACGCACAUUGCGCCCUUUGGUAUUCCUUAGGGCAUGCCUGUUCGAGCGUCAUCUAAACCUUCAAGCCCUGCUUGGUGUUGGGUGUCUGUCCCGCCUCCGCGCGCGGACUCACCUCAAAUCCAUUGGCGGCCCCCGCGUCGGCCACGAGCGCAGCAGAAACGCGAACUCGUGAGCCCGUCCGGGCGGCUCCCAGAAGCUACACCCACCCAGUUUGACCUCGGAUCAGGUAGGGAUACCCGCUGAACUUAGGC